RNAcentral lists this ribosomal RNA (460 nucleotides) under uncultured bacterium. RNAcentral describes it as "partial 16S ribosomal RNA". It matches the Rfam family "Bacterial small subunit ribosomal RNA", at positions 338 to 795 of the family's 1533-position model. The record is from RNAcentral.
CCUACGGGAGGCAGCAGUGAGGAAUAUUGGUCAAUGGACGAGAGUCUGAACCAGCCAAGCAGCGUGCAGGAUGACUGCCCUAUGGGUUGUAAACUUCUUUUAUAUGGGAAUAAAAUGUUCCACGUGUGGGAUUUUGUAUGUACCAUAUGAAUAAGGAUCGGCUAACUCCGUGCCAGCAGCCGCGGUAAUACGGAGGAUCCGAGCGUUAUCCGGAUUUAUUGGGUUUAAAGGGAGCGUAGGUGGAUUGUUAAGUCAGUUGUGAAAGUUUGCGGCUCAACCGUAAAAUUGCAGUUGAAACUGGCAGGCUUGAGAACAGUAGAGGUAGGCGGAAUUCGUGGUGUAGCGGUGAAAUGCUUAGAGAUCACGAAGAACUCCGAUUGCGAAGGCAGCUCACUGGACUGCAACUGACACUGAGGCUCGAAAGUGUGGGUAUCAAACAGGAUUAGAUACCCCAGUAGUC